CUCCAGGAAUUCGCAGUGACGUA
Molecule: non-coding RNA, 23 nt
Filed under: Arabidopsis thaliana (thale cress)
Lineage: Eukaryota; Viridiplantae; Streptophyta; Magnoliopsida; Brassicales; Brassicaceae
Source: RNAcentral